UGAAACAACAGGGCCUGGGUUUUGUCGA
Molecule: small RNA, 28 nt
Filed under: Bombyx mori (domestic silkworm)
Lineage: Eukaryota; Metazoa; Arthropoda; Insecta; Lepidoptera; Bombycidae
Description: ovarian small RNA-722
Source: RNAcentral